Molecule: small nucleolar RNA, 138 nt
Organism: Tachyglossus aculeatus (Australian echidna)
Lineage: Eukaryota; Metazoa; Chordata; Mammalia; Monotremata; Tachyglossidae
Source: RefSeq, a predicted model, not a curated record
CCUCUCUCAGGAUCACACCUGGAGAAUUUCCAGUACUCUAGCAGUCUUGGCUACAGGAGGGAGAGUCAGCCAGGUGCAUAUCCAUUCCAUUCCUAGCUUGGGCAGUGGCUAGCGAGUGGAAGGCAAGCUGCUACAAGU